RNAcentral lists this ribosomal RNA (477 nucleotides) under uncultured bacterium. RNAcentral's name for it is "partial 16S ribosomal RNA". It matches the Rfam family "Bacterial small subunit ribosomal RNA", at positions 899 to 1397 of the family's 1533-position model. The record is from RNAcentral.
ACUCAAAUGAAUUGACGGGGGCCCGCACAAGCAGCGGAGCGUGUGGUUUAAUUCGACGCAACGCGAAGCACCUCACCCAGGUUUGACAUGCCACUGCAGACGGCGGAAACGUCGUCGCCUUCGAGGGUGUGGCACCGGUGCUGCAUGGCUGUCGUCAGCUCGUGUCGUGAGAUGUUGGGUUCAGUCCCGCAACGAGCGCAACCCCCGCGGCCAGUUACUUGUGUCUGGCCGGACGGCCCAUUUGGGAGGAAGGUGGGGAUGAUGUCAAGUCCGCAUGGCCCGUACGCCUGGGGCGACACACACGCUACAAUGGCGCCGACAGUGCGCUGCUGACCGGCAACGGUUGGCGAAUCGCCAAACGGCGUCUCAGUUCAGAUCGGGGGCUGCAACUCGCCCCCGUGAAGGCGGAGUUGCUAGUAACCGCGUAUCAGCCACGGCGCGGUGAAUACGUACCCGGGCCUUGUACACACCGCCCGU